GCCGGGAAACCACAGCAUCAUGACGUCACGAUGCACCAUGACGUAAAACGCUGACUGUCUGUCGCCGGUGUAGUUAUGCGCAUGCGCGCCUUUUUACCCUGGCUUGUUUUCUUUUCGCUGGUACCAUCAUUUUCUUUGUCAGCGACCAAGUUUCUUUCUCUUCAUAUUGUCCCCAUUACCUGACCUUGCAAAUCCGGGCUAUCACUGCAUUACUGAGGGAGUGCUGCACUGUUAGAGAGUCUUUUUGGAUGAAGUGUUAUACCAAGGCCUAUCGACUGUAGAUAUUUUCUGAUCACCCUUUUCAGAGACGUUAUUACACACUUCUGGAGCAGUAUGAAACCCCAAAGCAUUUCUGCGGUCUUUUCAGCUUCAACUAGGGAAACAGGCAGGUAUACAGACUGUGAGAUGUCACUCAACAGGGCAUUCCUGCAGAAUGGAAAAUGGUCACAUGCACAAGGACCUUCUGUAUGUUGAAGUUACCAGAGCUAGACCACCCAAUGGUGUUGGAUAAAAGCAGGAGCGGAGUUGGAACAAUGCUGUUAAAUAACCUGCCAGUGCUCGGUUAGAAGACUACCAAAAAUUGAAAGUAAAACAGUGUAUUUUAGAAAUGCUGAAACACUGCACAACAAAGUGAAAAAACAACACUACAGCCAAGUUAUUUAUUCAUGGCUCAGAAUAACUGAAAGUUGCCAAAUAUCUUGGGUGUGAACAUGUUACUGGACAAACUCUCUGGCACUGACUUCUGAAGAAACUCCUGAGAAUCUAGUUGGCUUUGUGGUGGGUCUUGGAUGAACACAUUUUUGUUUGAAAAGAUCAUCUUGAAACAGUGUAUUUUGAUUUCUGCAGGAUGCCAAUAUGCAAAAAUGCCAACAAAAAAAUAAAAAAAUUCACUAGCA
This is a long non-coding RNA of Rhincodon typus (whale shark), 896 nucleotides long. RefSeq lists it as uncharacterized. NCBI's taxonomy places the organism in Eukaryota, Metazoa, Chordata, Chondrichthyes, Orectolobiformes, Rhincodontidae. The transcript is spliced from 4 exons. The record is from RefSeq and is a predicted model, not a curated record.